Molecule: long non-coding RNA, 660 nt
Organism: Mytilus californianus (California mussel)
Lineage: Eukaryota; Metazoa; Mollusca; Bivalvia; Mytilida; Mytilidae
Exons: 2
Source: RefSeq, a predicted model, not a curated record
AGAAAAGGCUAAUCGAAAAUACACUAAUGGUAUAGCAAUGAAAACAGAAACGACUGAAACGGAGUAAAACCUUAUACGUUCGUAUAGUGUUAAAAUACCGAAUGUAACGAAUUGACUCAAAUAUGUAAACGCCAUGCGAUGGAGCAGAGGGUAUGUUACUGCUGAGAAAUGGGAAGUUGAAGAUUGGAAUGUUGAAAUUAUCAUGUUUUUCAUUGAUUCUAGUUUUAAGUCGUUCAUCCUUGUCGAUGUCGAGGAAAAAAUCAAGAUAUGAAGCAGAUCUUCUACGUUCGGUAGUAUCCUAAAUCUCAAGUUCUCUGCGAUGUGUGAGAUAUUAACACUCAAUGGUGUGUGGUUUAUUGAGUGACAGAACAUCAUCAAUAUAUCUGAAAGUGAAUUUGAAAAAACUUUGAAAAAUACUUUGUGAUUAGCAUAGACCUCACAAAAAAGAACCUUAUAAUAAGAUUGGAAUGCGGUAAAACUUCUUUAGUGAAUAUUGACGCAAUAUUUGUUCUGUCUAGAAUAACUCGAAAUAUGUUUAAGAAAUGAUAACGUGGCAAAUUCGAGUUUCAGCCAUCUAAAACUUUCAAAUAUCAAAGCUUAUUCCUAUAUUGCAAAACCUACUAACGUCAAAAUGUUGCAAUAAAAGUUUAUACUAAUUGA